This 120-nucleotide small nucleolar RNA is filed under the name Erinaceus europaeus (western European hedgehog). RNAcentral describes it as "Small nucleolar RNA SNORA25 (ENSEEUG00000023768.1)". The record is from RNAcentral. Lineage: Eukaryota; Metazoa; Chordata; Mammalia; Eulipotyphla; Erinaceidae.
AGGUCAUUUCAAAGAGGAGUUUUCAGACUAAAACCAGGAGCUCUUAACACUGUGACCAAAAAUGAAGAACAAAGACGUACUCAGCACUGAGCAGUGAUGUCUUCCUGGGGAGAAAUAAAA